GUGCUCACUUUGGCAGCACAUAUACUAAAACUAGAAUAAUACAGAGGAGAUUAGUAUGGCCCCUGCACAAGGAUGACACUCAAAUUCUUGAAGUGUUCCAUGUUUUC
Zalophus californianus (California sea lion) is the source of this 107-nucleotide small nuclear RNA. The record is from Ensembl. Lineage: Eukaryota; Metazoa; Chordata; Mammalia; Carnivora; Otariidae.